CGAAAAAUGACGACGAAUGAUUUGAACGAAGAGGUAACAGCGAGCAUGACUGAAUAACAUUCAGGUAAGCAUAUUGUUAUGUUAUAUGUAUAAUGGAGCAGUUUUGAAAGUAAAUAUUCGCUAUCUUCAUUCAUGAAUUUUGAGCAUUUGUUCAUGUUUAAAAUUUGAAUUUGCCGCGACAAUAUUUGAAUUAAAAAGAUGAUAUAUUAGUUUUAUAGAAGGCUUACAUUUGACUUUAUAUUAAAUUAUGUUUAUUGUAUAAAGGGCAACUAAUAUUUGUGUAUAUGAAUAUAUGACAGACUACCAGAUAACAAUGUUUCUGGUAUAAAGUAUAAAAUAAUAUAGCUUGGCAUCUACUCAAUCAUCAUAUGCUCAACUACACAUGUCCCAGCUAAACAUGGUUUGAGAAAAUGUAACCACUUGUUUCAAAUCAACUGCUACUUUCAUAAGUUUCUAAUUUUUAUAUAUCUAGGUUUUUUAUGUCCAAAUUCUUCAAUCAAUGAAAAAAUCUAUUUCACUGUUAGAGGUGUUAUGCACCAGUCAAUGAAAACCUAUACAACUCAUCCCCCCCCCCCUUUGUCUUUUAAUUAAGCUGUGGAGCUUCCCCAUUAACAAGUAAAAUUGUCUGGCAUAAGACAAGUAAAAAAAUAGGUAAGGCACACUGGGGCGCAUUGUGGCUUGAUGGGUUUACCAGAGACAUUGUCAAAUUUUUUGGUCAACCCAUUAAGCUGCAGAGUUUCCCCAUUGACGAGCAAAAUCGUUUGGCGUUAGACAAGUGAAAAAAAAGUAGAGCGCACUGGGGCGCGUUGUGGCUCAAUGGGUUAAUAUAUCAGAGAACAAUAUUUAAAAACAUUGUCUUUAUAGCUUAAGUCAACAACAAAACGUCGUUAAUUAAUCAAAGUGCAUUAUUACUAUGUGUUUAUUUUCCUGUUUAUGACUGACUUGUUUAUUAUACUAACACAAAAGAUUGAAUGUCCAUGUAUAAGCUCUAUCCCUCCUAUAUACUGUAACCCCCCCCCCUUUGUAUAAGCCCACCAAAUAUAUAGCCCAGGGUUUAUAGUCCGAGAUUUACGGUAUUCCAUGAACCCAUUAAGAUGUGAUGUUGUGAUGGAUUAACAGACUGUGUGUGCAUGUCUCAGUUACCAUUAGCACUUACAUACCCUAAUUUAACCCAUUAAGCUGCAGAGCUUUCCCGCGUUUUCCCCGUUUCCUAGGAUAGAGGCCUCAUCACGAUUUAUGAAUAAGGUCUAUAGUACUCUGAUUUUCCAUUUAACAUACGAGCCUCUAGUCCUGGGAUAGGGUACAUUUUGAUUUACGUUGGACAAAGCUACAGUUCUGUCGGACACCAAUACACUCAGGUCGGACAAACAAUAAACCUCAAUUUCACUUUGGUCGGACAAUGUCCAUGACCGACCGAUAUUUUAAGGCCUGCAUAGCUGGAUUAACCCUAACCCGUAGUUAAAAUUUAUGUAUUUCUACAUACAGUAUCUUUUUGUUUUAAAAUUAUGAAAAGAAAACUCCUAUCAAUGGUACUGAUCCAGACAAGAUGUCUAAAGAAAUAUUUCCAAAUUUAUAAACAAACUGUUAGGAAGUUUGCUUAAUCUAAGGUUAACUUAUCGGCUUUCGAACAAUCAACCCCUGCAUGGUGAUUUUGUUUGUCAAUGGGGAGUGUGUUGGACUUAAAAGGUUUUAACCUUUCAUUGAAACUAGAUUGUCUGCCCACAUUUUGUGUUAACACAUUAAGAUAAAAGCCAGACUGCUUUCAGUACUUCAUGAUUUUAGUAUGUCUAACAUCAGAGGGUCACAUUUCAUAUUUACUGUAACCCUUUUAGAUGCAAAGGACAUUUUAGUCAUCCAGAGGGGGAGGGAGUCUAAGAGUAGAAUCUUCUGAGACUGAUAAUAGUAAGAUGUACUAAUUAAGACAUCAAUGGAAUGGGGUAGGGGGGGGUUAAAUUCCAAGUUUCUUUGUAUGUCAUGCUUGAAGUUUUCAAGGAUGGAUAGAUCGGCUUAGAUAAAAAUGUCAAUUUGAUGUUUUGUGUGGCAACUUGAAUAUGGACAUCUCCCUAAUUGGAAACAGUUAAAGUCCUUAGUUUGUUUGUUUGUUUGUUUGUUCAAACUCAUGAAUACAUUUAGCUAGCUACACCACCCACAUGAUCUGCUUAGUAAUAUAUGUAACAACCCAAUUCACUCCAAUUAACCCAGUUUUCAGCACUUUCUUAAAUUAUGUCACCUUUCCUAAUGCUGGACAAGUUAAUUUGUGUGUAGCUAGAUUUUGCCCAUGUUUCAUGUUGACAUAUUUAGAUGCAAUUUUCCCUAACACUCCCUACUUUAAGUCCUUUAAUAUUGAACUGUGACGUCUCAUGCUAGACAAUUUUACUUAUCGACUGCAUGGACUCAUUUCACCUAUUAACACCGAAGAAACAAUUUCCUCUUAAAUGUUGCCUACUUUCGGUUCUUUCUGUGCAGGACAGAGUAUUUCUGCUAUCCAGCCAGAUACAGGAUAUGCUGGAUGGCUGAAAAAUAUCCAGCCCGAUUAAGGGUAUUAUUCAAAUAAUUAUAUAAGGUUCAGGCAUCAUUUAAGGUUAAGUACUGGUAAUAAUUUUAUUUGGUUAAAAAGUAAACAGUCUAAAACUAGUAAACCUGCAUCAUUGGUAGCAAACCUGCAUCGUUGGUAGCAAACAUGCAUCAUUGGUAACAAAAGCCUGUUUACAUCAGUUAAAAGUUCAAAUCCCCAUUUACUGUACAAACAAGCAUUGAAAAUACUGAUCAUAUUUAUCAUAUUUUUACUUCAAUGAUCAUGAUAUGAUAACCUUAUCAAAUCAUUUUCUAACCUGAAAAGAAGGCCUGAACCCUAUAUGAAUAAUAUCCGGCAUUGGGUAGCCGGAUACCAGAUAAUGAAUUAAAAUCUUAAUAUCCGGCCAGAUACAGUAUCAGUCCAUUGCAUCCUAUGUCUUGAAAUGCCAAACAAAUUAACUUGUUAAAUGACUGUAUAUUGAUAACCCUUUGAGCAGCAAUGUGCCCAAGUGCACCCUACUUUGUUAUGUUGCACUUAACUAACACCAGACAUUUUACUUUGUGAAAUGCCAGACAAUUUUACUCCUCAAGAGCAGUGUCCUGCUCACUAAUGGUUAUCCAAAUUAUCUGCCAAUGUGCCUUGAUAACCCAUUAGGCCGAAAUGCACCCAAAUUGACCCGCCUUUGUUAUUUUACUCUGUCAAAUGCCGGACAAUUUUAGUCAUCAAGAAGAGAGUCCUGCGUGCUAGUGGGUUAAAUGACUUAAUUACAUAUGUUAUAUAUAAGGUCAAUUUCACAUGAGACAUUGAAAAUGGCAAAAUUGCAAAAUGCAACAUUAUGUGGUGCUAACUACAUGUUUCCAUAGUUAACACAUUGGAUUAUCAUAAAUCAAAACGAUUUUUGAAUUUUGGCCCAUGCCCACUCUGCGGCAAACCGUCGAAUCUGCACUUGUUUGUUGCUAUUGUUCUGUGGAUAAAGUGUGUUUAUUUAAAAUAAUUAUAACUCAGUCACUUUAACUUUGAAAUACUUAUAUUUCUUAACAAACACAGUCUAAGGUUCACAUAUCAUGAUGACAAUGUUAGAUCAGACAAUAUCCAGUGUUGCUGUGAUUUAUGGUGCAUCGAAGUUUGGGUAAGAGAAAUGUAAUGUCCGCAACAAAAAAACAAUUCAAUUUAUUUUUCAGCCAAACGUCUAGCUCUUUUGACAUUAUAUUUGUGCUGCUUUUUUAAAAUGGUAUUAACAUUAUUUUAGACUGGAAAAAGACAAUAAAAAGUAUUAACAUGUCUUGAAUAAUGUGUUGCGGACAUUACGUUGCAGACAUUACAUUUUUGAAAUUGGAGAAUUAGAUGCUUAUAUAUAAUUGUCUUGCUUGAAUUCUAUAGUUAUCUUAAGCUUGAUGACUUAAAAAUAGAACAUUAAAAGGACUAUGGGACCCUUACUUUUAACUAUAAUCACUCCGUGCUGUAUACACAAUCACAGUGACACAAUUCAUCAUGGAAAGUUUCCAAGUUACAUAUAAUGCCACUACCGUAUACUGCCAUUGUACCAUCAGUUUUGUAAGGCAUAUGUUGUUAAGAGCAAAAUCAUGUUUUAAUUCGUGUUUGUUUUGAUCAUCUUCCACUAAACCCAGGGGUGUUAAUUAUCCCCACCAAAUGUAGUAAAUGCAAAACUGUCAAAUAGAAUGGUCUACAAACAUGACACUUUAUUUGCUGCACAACCCGAGUCAUUGCCUGAGUCUAUGCGCAACAAAUAUUGCACUUUUGAAAGAUAUUAUUGUCAACAGAAGAUUAUAUACUGUAAUAUAUGUGACCAUGAUUUCAUCCCAGGAUUUAUGGUGGUAUACACAUGGGCAUACAGGAAGGAAAAAAUUAGGGGGAGGAAAGAAAUUUGCCUGACUUUUUCGGAUUGUGCCCGCGUUGUUAAAAAAAUUUCCGGAGAAACUUUCCAAAAUUGUUGUCGACGUAGAAUUCCUAUUAGAUAGAUAGCAUAUUUCCCACACAAUUGACAGAAUUCCCCACAAAAUUGACAGAAUUUGUCUCAUUUAUUUUUAUAAUAAGCCAAUAUUGCCCAAGUGUGAAGCGAAUAUUGCCCGACUGGCUUUGUUUGCUCCACCCCCCCCCCCGGCCGGUACGCCCAUGGGUAUACAAAUGUAAAUAGAAUUAAGCUAGAAUGCCUGUUAUGUGGACUAGAAACAUUGAAGUGCAUAAUCAGUCGCCCAGUUUUGUUUUCCUAUCAUUUUUAAUACAGAUUGCUAUACAAUCCCAAAAAUGUAAUGUCCGCAACAGUUUCAGUGUAAUGUCCGCAACACAAACUUUGCACUAUAAAAGCUGCGCAAGGGCAUUGUAGAACAUCUCGUUUUCAUAUUUUUUAACCCCAAUUAUCACUGAGAGCAGGAAGUGUUUUAGUUCCUUUGAUACCUUUCAAAGUUCACAGGAAAUUACGUUUUAAAAACAUCACUUCAAUGUGUGGUUGAUUUUGCUGUAAUGUCCGCAACAGUACUUUGACUUUUUAUUACAAGAAUUGAUUACGAGGGAAUUUUGUUUUUUUUUAUGAAAUCUUAAGAGGUCCCCUUAAGGUUUUCUAUGACAAAGUUCCCAGAUCUGAAACUGUUGCAAACAGGAAACAGAGCAUGUUUUGUAUUAAUUGUUUUUCUGUGAAUGUAAUGUCCGCAACGUGAAAUUGCCCAUAAACUUAAGCUGUUAGAUUGUCCCAUUGUAUAUUAAUUUUUUACUUAUCUUGACACAGGCUUGUAUGUUGGAUUGAUACGACUACCUGUAAAUAUGGUUAAACUUGGCUAUGUGAUUCAAAGGUUGUGGUUCACCGAGCGAUAAAGAAAAUGAUACAAAGAUGGAAUGAUUGGAUGCAAGUUAUCAGUUACAGUGUUUCAUAUGACAGGUAUUCUGAUUGUGGAAGAUGUGGGCUUGCAAUAUUUUGACAAUUGCAUGGCUGUAAAGUACGAGACAAUUAAUAUAGUACUCCAUUACUCUAAUUGCCAGAACACUGCAUCAGAAUAAGAAGUUGUCUGUUACAGUUAGGUUUAGUAAAAGUAUAGUAAAAGUACAUAGUCAACUAUGUAAAAUGUAAUUUAGUCAGUGUCAAAUAAAUAUUUUGUCA
Molecule: non-coding RNA, 5627 nt
Organism: Paramuricea clavata
Lineage: Eukaryota; Metazoa; Cnidaria; Anthozoa; Malacalcyonacea; Plexauridae
Source: the annotation of a GenBank genome assembly